UCGUCUACGGUACAAGGACUUUGGGGAACUGGCGCUGACAAACUCCUAGAACUGCUAGAAGAGGAGAUAUCAGAAGAUAUUUUGGAUCAAAUGGAAGCCACAAAAAUCUCAUAAAAAAUCAGGAAAAAUAGCAAACAAGCCCUCGAGGAAGCUAAAUGAAUAGAAUACAAAGAAGAAAGGACAGGAAAAUGACAAGAAGUUUCGAAACUAACCUAGAUUGGCCCCAGGAGUGCAGAAAGAUGGCAAGGAUGAUGGGAGUCGACUCAGAGGAUGCCUAAAGCCGAGAAGGAUGCUAGAGGAAGCUGGAGCUCUCAGAGAAGAGGAGGGAAACCGAGGGAUUCUCUCAGGCAAAAUGAAAUCCC
This 362-nucleotide long non-coding RNA is filed under the name Elaeis guineensis (African oil palm). RNAcentral's name for it is "long non-coding RNA (EGUI_LNC074607)". The record is from RNAcentral. Lineage: Eukaryota; Viridiplantae; Streptophyta; Magnoliopsida; Arecales; Arecaceae.